Molecule: long non-coding RNA, 623 nt
Organism: Prionailurus viverrinus (fishing cat)
Lineage: Eukaryota; Metazoa; Chordata; Mammalia; Carnivora; Felidae
Exons: 3
Source: RefSeq, a predicted model, not a curated record
AGACAGCCAGAGGCCUGGGGCAGCACAGACACGCGUGUGUCCAGGAGCAGCCACGUUGGAGGGAGAAGGCUGGGGGCAGGCCAGGCGGGAUGAUUAUCUGCACUGUAUAAGACAUUCAAGCAAGUCAGCUGGAAAAAAAAAACUCGUUUUAAAACGGGCAGAAGGCCUGAAUGGACACUUUUCCGAAGAAGACGUCCACACGGCCAACAGACACGUGAAAAGACGCUCCACGUGACUCACCGUCAGGGAAGUGCAAUUCAAAAGCGUGUUGAGAUGGCUGGAUGCUUCGCGUCAUUCGUCUUAAACACGAUGGAACUGGAUGCAAGGAUACGAUGAUACUUACGGGCUCACAUCCGGCAUGCGGGGCGUUGGGGACACGAGCUUCCCCUGCAGGGCUGUGACUCCCUGAAGCAGCGUGAGGGUAAGACAGCCUGCAGACCCCCUAGAACCCCUUCCAGCCCUUCGUCGCCGCACCUUGAGCCAGCCCUGCCUGAAGUCCGCCUCUGGCUACUCACCGGCUGCAGAAGCCACCAGUGUCGGGACCUUCUGUGUGUGUUUGCUCGCGGUGUGUGGAGAAAAGCUGGGUAUCGCCUGGAAAACAUGAUACUGAGCAGAAAAGGCCA